Molecule: ribosomal RNA, 253 nt
Filed under: uncultured bacterium
Lineage: Bacteria
Description: partial 16S ribosomal RNA
Rfam family: Bacterial small subunit ribosomal RNA
Source: RNAcentral
UACGAGAGGCCCAAACGUUAUUCGGAUUUACUGGGCUUAAAGAGUUCGUAGGCGGCUUGGAAAGUGGGGUGUGAAAGCCCUCGGCUCAACCGAGGAAUUGCGCUCCAAACUACCGAGCUUGAGUAGGCUAGAGGUGAGCAGAACUGAUGGUGGAGCGGUGAAAUGCGUUGAUAUCAUCAGGAAUACCGGAGGCGAAGGCGGCUCACUGGGACAUAACUGACGCUGAGGAACGAAAGCUAGGGGAGCAAACGGG